RNAcentral lists this ribosomal RNA (510 nucleotides) under Nanatka sp. ZHM-2009. RNAcentral describes it as "partial 16S ribosomal RNA". The stretch from base 387 to 510 matches the Rfam family "Bacterial large subunit ribosomal RNA", at positions 2473 to 2597 of the family's 2925-position model. The record is from RNAcentral. Lineage: Eukaryota; Metazoa; Arthropoda; Insecta; Hemiptera; Cicadellidae.
UUCUUUUAGAUUUAAAAUUAAAGGUAAAUUCUGCCCUAUGAUAUAUUUUAAAUGGCUGCAGUAUAUUGACUGUGCAAAGGUAGCAUAAUCAUUAGUCAUUUAAUUGUUGACUUGUAUGAAUGAAUAAAUGAGGGAUUAAUUUUUUUUAUAUUAUUUUUAAAAUUUUAUUUUUAAGUAAAAAAGCUUUAAUUUUUUUUUAGGGACGAUAAGACCCUAUAGAACUUUAUUAUAAUAAAUAUAUUUAAUUUUUUAGUUAAAACUAUAUUAUAACAUUUUAUUAUUUUUUUAUUGGGGUGAUAAAUAAAUUUAUAACUUUAUUUUUUUAAUUCAUUAAUUUAUGAUUUUUUUGAUCCAAAAUUUAGAUUAAAAGUUUUAGUUACCUUAGGGAUAACAGCGUAAUUUUAAUGGGGAGUUCAUAUUUAUAUUAAAGUUUGCGACCUCGAUGUUGAAUUAAGAUAAGUUUGGGGGGUAGAUUUUUCAUUACUAAGUCUGUUCGACUUUUAAAUUCUU